UGAUGACACUUCUCCGGAAUCUCUGCUACUACUUUGAUGAUUCUUUUGAACCCUUUAGUCUGAAGGCUGUCUUGAUCUAAGC
Bombina bombina (fire-bellied toad) is the source of this 82-nucleotide small nucleolar RNA. RefSeq annotates it as small nucleolar RNA MBII-202. The transcript has a single exon. The record is from RefSeq and is a predicted model, not a curated record. NCBI's taxonomy places the organism in Eukaryota, Metazoa, Chordata, Amphibia, Anura, Bombinatoridae.